RNAcentral lists this transfer RNA (73 nucleotides) under Myotis myotis. It matches the Rfam family "tRNA". Rfam says of the family: Transfer RNA (tRNA) molecules are approximately 80 nucleotides in length. Lineage: Eukaryota; Metazoa; Chordata; Mammalia; Chiroptera; Vespertilionidae. The record is from Rfam by way of RNAcentral. RNAcentral also lists the same sequence under 1 other name.
GGCCGGGUAGCUCAGUUGGUUAGAGCGUUGUCCUUAUAUACCAAGGUUUUGGGUUCAAUCCCCAGGCAGGGCA